RNAcentral lists this ribosomal RNA (468 nucleotides) under uncultured bacterium. RNAcentral's name for it is "partial 16S ribosomal RNA". It matches the Rfam family "Bacterial small subunit ribosomal RNA", at positions 28 to 507 of the family's 1533-position model. The record is from RNAcentral.
GAUGAACGCUGGCGGCGUGCUUAACACAUGCAAGUCGAACGGAAAGGCCCUGCUUUUGUGGGGUGCUCGAGUGGCGAACGGGUGAGUAACACGUGUGUAACCUGCCCUUGACUUUGGGAUAACUUCAGGAAACUGGGGCUAAUACCGGAUAGGAGCUCCUGCUGCAUGGUGGGGGUUGGAAAGUUUCGGCGGUUGGGGAUGGACUCGCGGCUUAUCAGCUGGUUGGUGGGGUAGUGGCUUACCAAGGCUUUGACGGGUAGCCGGCCUGAGAGGGUGGCCGGCCACAUUGGGACUGAGAGACGGCCCAGACUCCUACGGGAGGCAGCGGUGGGAAAUAUUGCACAAUGGGCGGGAGCCUGAUGCAGCGACGCCGCGUGCGGGAUGACGGCCUUCGGGUUGUAAACCGCUUUCGCCUGUGACGAAGCGUGAGUGACGGUAAUGGGUAAAGAAGCACCGGCUAACUACGUG